RNAcentral lists this ribosomal RNA (454 nucleotides) under uncultured Prevotella sp. RNAcentral's name for it is "bacterial SSU rRNA". It matches the Rfam family "Bacterial small subunit ribosomal RNA", at positions 341 to 792 of the family's 1533-position model. The record is from RNAcentral. Lineage: Bacteria; Pseudomonadati; Bacteroidota; Bacteroidia; Bacteroidales; Prevotellaceae.
ACGGAAGGCAGCAGUGAGGAAUAUUGGUCAAUGGGCGUAAGCCUGAACCAGCCAAGUAGCGUGGAGGAUGACGGCCCUAUGGGUUGUAAACUCCUUUUAUGUAUGGAUAAAGUUAGUCACGUGUGACUAUUUGCAGGUAAUACAUGAAUAAGGACCGGCUAAUUCCGUGCCAGCAGCCGCGGUAAUACGGAAGGUCCGGGCGUUAUCCGGAUUUAUUGGGUUUAAAGGGAGCGUAGGCGGCCGAUUAAGCGUGUUGUGAAAUGUAGAUGCUCAACAUCUGAAUUGCAGCGCGAACUGGUUGGCUUGAGUGCGCAGGAAGUAGGCGGAAUUCGUUGUGUAGCGGUGAAAUGCUUAGAUAUGACGAAGAACUCCGAUUGCGAAGGCAGCUUACUGUAGCGUUACUGACGCUGAAGCUCGAAAGUGCGGGUAUCGAACAGGAUUAGAUACCCUGGUA